UGGCCAUCCAGAGCAACCGAGAGACCUGGCUCGACGACAUUGCAGCAACCCCCUUCAUGGUGCGGGUGCUUCCGCCAGGAACGAUGGAGG
Non-coding RNA from Actinomyces sp. oral taxon 175, 90 nucleotides. The record is from Rfam. Lineage: Bacteria; Bacillati; Actinomycetota; Actinomycetes; Actinomycetales; Actinomycetaceae.